GAUGAACGCUAGCGGCAGGCUUAAUACAUGCAAGUCGAGGGGCAGCACGGUUAGCAAUAACUGGUGGCGACCGGCGCACGGGUGCGUAACACGUAUACAAUCUACCUUAAACAGGGGAUAGCCUUUCGAAAGAGAGAUUAAUACCCCGUAAUAAAUUGAACGGCAUCGUUUGAUUUUGAAAGCUCCGGCGGUUUGAGAUGAGUAUGCGUCUGAUUAGCUAGUUGGUGAGGUAACGGCUCACCAAGGCGACGAUCAGUAGGGGAUCUGAGAGGACUAACCCCCCACACUGGUACUGAGACACGGACCAGACUCCUACGGGAGGCAGCAGUAAGGAAUAUUGGUCAAUGGAGGCAACUCUGAACCAGCCAUGCCGCGUGCAGGAUGACGGCCCUAUGGGUUGUAAACUGCUUUUAUACAAGAGAAAACCCUGGUACGUGUACCAGGUUGAUAGUAUUGUAAGAAUAAGCAUCGGCUAACUUCGUGCCAGCAGCCGCGGU
This 497-nucleotide ribosomal RNA is filed under the name uncultured bacterium. Its description in RNAcentral is "bacterial SSU rRNA". It matches the Rfam family "Bacterial small subunit ribosomal RNA", at positions 28 to 521 of the family's 1533-position model. The record is from RNAcentral.